GCCCGCGGGCCCGGCGGCGGCCCGGCGCCCGCCUCCGCUUCUCCUCAUGAGGCGGAGGCGGGACGGGGCGCCGGGGGCUGCCGGCGGCCGCCGCUCCUCAGUCCUUCGCAGAUCGUUCUGUGCUCAUACCUGCUUUUCCAGGAGGUAA
This 148-nucleotide long non-coding RNA is filed under the name Anas platyrhynchos (mallard). RNAcentral describes it as "lncRNA (ENSAPLG00020002440.1)". The record is from RNAcentral. Lineage: Eukaryota; Metazoa; Chordata; Aves; Anseriformes; Anatidae.